AGUGGAAUGAAGCAAGUUAGGAGCACAACUUUAUUGUCCAGAUGGGCGUCUGGUCCAAGACGAGCUCAUCCUAUGUUUUGGAUUAAUUGUGUAGGGUUGUAAAUUUGUACCUCUGCAUGGGGUUCCCUAUGGGCACUUUUUAAAUCUAAACAAACAGAAAAGGAUGAGAGGAUUUUUUUAAAAAAGAAAAGGUUCUAUAUCGACAGUAGCCAUGAUAAAAAUUACCUGGGCCAUCCAAUCUCAUGCUGCAAGGUCUAUGCUCAUCACCAGCCAGGGCAGGUGCUGAGGCAGUUGGGAAAGGAAAGUAUAAUAUUGUCCAAUUUGAUCCAUUUGGGAGGCUUUAUUUCCAUCCCACUGGAACAAGAGGCAUUGGCACAGGAACAGGAUGUUGGACGAGAUGGAAAACUGCUCUGUUUCAGUCUUCAAAGGUGAAGUCAUAGCAGGAGGAGUGGCUCUGGCCUCCUCAUCACUUCCUGUCACCUUCAUAAGACCCAAGAGAAGCACAUACAGGCCUCAACCAAGAUCAAGGCCCCACUGUGCCAAGCCCUGUACAAACCCAUAAUAAGAGACUGGUCCCUGUCUGAAAAGUUCAACAUCUAAACAGAGAAGACAGACAAAGGGCUGGGGAGAAACAGACACAGAGAGGGGGACUGGCCUGCUUGCCUCCUUCUCCUCCCAUGGCUGGGAAUGGGCAGAAGCACUUGGCCCAUCCUCCUCCACAUCCCUAUCUUGUAGAGCUGCUAGAAAGGAUACCACAAGAGGGAACAGACAUAUAUCAUUUUCUCUACAUGGUACAGUCUGAUGGGUUGGUCUGCAACUGGCAUCCAAUAUCCUCUAUGGGUUGGAGAAUGGGAAUGGGACAGUCUUUCCUGGUUCCUGUCAGCUGAUGAAUCUAAUAAGAUCAGACUUUCUCUCCAGGUAAUUGCGGUGCUCCAGCUCCUAGCCAAGACACACCGGUGCUGAGGCCACUGCAGAAAUGGAAAACUCCAGUGAGAACAAGAGUUAACAAAAACUUUUUGAGACAUAAUACCUGUAGUUUUGGAUCUAUUCUUAUUAUAUCCACAUCUUGGGUCUAGAGCUAA
This is a long non-coding RNA of Malaclemys terrapin pileata, 1082 nucleotides long. RefSeq lists it as uncharacterized. NCBI's taxonomy places the organism in Eukaryota, Metazoa, Chordata, Testudines, Emydidae. The transcript has 3 exons. The record is from RefSeq and is a predicted model, not a curated record.